UAAAGUACGAAUAGUGAAUUACCUUGUAGCCUUUUUAAAUAGAUCAUGUAGGUCAAAUGAAUUAGCUUGUCUUAUUUUAUACCGUGCUUUAAUCGCUUAUUUCAACAGGCAUGGAUUUAAUGAAGCAUUGAAAUAAACAACUUAACUGAGUGUAGAAAUAAAAGUAAUUCCAGUUUGGAUCUGUUCGGAUAAACAGACAUACUGGAUAAACAUUGUGUACACUACGGUAGCGCUUUCAUACUGUCGCACUGACCUGUGUACUUUCGCUCGGGGCAUUAUGGGUAAGAACUAUUUUCAACAUGGAGUCGUAAACAAGGAAGUGAAAGUGUGCUUUGCAUUUUUAGUUGAAUAUUCACCAUUGUUGUUUCCAGAGACUAAUUUCCAAAGUAUCAGUUCGAUGUAGUCCAGUAAGGCUAAAUGUACAGUCUAGUCAGAAAUGGUCCAGACUCAAAAGGCUAAUUACCAGAUGCACACUUUGUUUUCUUGUAUUGUAUUCUUGUUUUGUUAAUUGAUAUUUUUUCUAUACAAAUUUGAAUAAACAGUUGAUAAUUAGUACGAGUUUAUAUGAUAUCGGAAUAGUAAAAAUCUUA
This is a long non-coding RNA of Mercenaria mercenaria, 590 nucleotides long. RefSeq lists it as uncharacterized. The transcript is spliced from 2 exons. The record is from RefSeq and is a predicted model, not a curated record. NCBI's taxonomy places the organism in Eukaryota, Metazoa, Mollusca, Bivalvia, Venerida, Veneridae.